UGAAGACGUACAGGAGAGAGGUAUACCAAAGAGUAUGCCCGCCGAAGAAUUAACUAUUUCAGGCAAAAUGGACUGUCGUUGGAGG
RNAcentral lists this non-coding RNA (85 nucleotides) under Photobacterium damselae. RNAcentral's name for it is "Glycine sequence". It matches the Rfam family "Glycine riboswitch aptamer". From Rfam's summary of the family: This family represents the bacterial glycine riboswitch. Lineage: Bacteria; Pseudomonadati; Pseudomonadota; Gammaproteobacteria; Vibrionales; Vibrionaceae. The record is from RNAcentral.